RNAcentral lists this ribosomal RNA (670 nucleotides) under uncultured bacterium. RNAcentral's name for it is "bacterial SSU rRNA". It matches the Rfam family "Bacterial small subunit ribosomal RNA", at positions 211 to 880 of the family's 1533-position model. The record is from RNAcentral.
UUUUCCGGUAGACGAUGGGGAUGCGUUCCAUUAGAUAGUAGGCGGGGUAACGGCCCACCUAGUCAACGAUGGAUAGGGGUUCUGAGAGGAAGGUCCCCCACAUUGGAACUGAGACACGGUCCAAACUCCUACGGGAGGCAGCAGUGAGGAAUAUUGGUCAAUGGGCGAUGGCCUGAACCAGCCAAGUAGCGUGAAGGAUGACUGCCCUAUGGGUUGUAAACUUCUUUUAUAAAGGAAUAAAGUCGGGUAUGCAUACCCGUUUGCAUGUACUUUAUGAAUAAGGAUCGGCUAACUCCGUGCCAGCAGCCGCGGUAAUACGGAGGAUCCGAGCGUUAUCCGGAUUUAUUGGGUUUAAAGGGAGCGUAGAUGGAUGUUUAAGUCAGUUGUGAAAGUUUGCGGCUCAACCGUAAAAUUGCAGUUGAUACUGGAUGUCUUGAGUGCAGUUGAGGCAGGCGGAAUUCGUGGUGUAGCGGUGAAAUGCUUAGAUAUCACGAAGAACUCCGAUUGCGAAGGCAGCCUGCUAAGCUGCAACUGACAUUGAGGCUCGAAAGUGUGGGUAUCAAACAGGAUUAGAUACCCUGGUAGUCCACACGGUAAACGAUGACAUACUCGCUGUUUGCGAUAUACGGCAAGCGGCCAAGCGAAAGCGUUAAGUAUUCCACCUGGGGAG